UAGGAUUCAUUGCUCAGUACGUGCUACAGAGAAAUAAAAAAGCCCAAUAAUUUUCAUAUAUACCAACCAAUUAACAAAUGAUCAGCGCCUAGCUAUCUCUAUAUACACUGUUCCAUCUGCAGCUAGCUAGCUCUGAAUCGAUCAAUUAUUCUAUGGGUAUUAAAAGUUCUAAAUAUAAACAGCAGUGCAGCAGUUCAUCAGAGAACUUAUAUGCGAAUCACGG
Molecule: long non-coding RNA, 223 nt
Filed under: Oryza brachyantha (malo sina)
Lineage: Eukaryota; Viridiplantae; Streptophyta; Magnoliopsida; Poales; Poaceae
Description: long non-coding RNA (OBRA_LNC002474)
Source: RNAcentral